UAGGGAAUAGCUCAGUAGCAGAGCACGUGCUUAGCAUGCACGAGGUCCUGGUUUCAAUCCCCAGUCCUCCAU
Molecule: transfer RNA, 72 nt
Organism: Camelus ferus (Wild Bactrian camel)
Lineage: Eukaryota; Metazoa; Chordata; Mammalia; Artiodactyla; Camelidae
Rfam family: tRNA
About the family: Transfer RNA (tRNA) molecules are approximately 80 nucleotides in length. Their secondary structure includes four short double-helical elements and three loops (D, anti-codon, and T loops).
Source: Rfam